Small nuclear RNA from Frieseomelitta varia, 121 nucleotides. RefSeq annotates it as U5 spliceosomal RNA. The transcript has a single exon. The record is from RefSeq and is a predicted model, not a curated record. NCBI's taxonomy places the organism in Eukaryota, Metazoa, Arthropoda, Insecta, Hymenoptera, Apidae.
CACUCUUGUUUCCCCUUCAAAUCACGCAUAAAUCUUUCGCCUUUUACUAAAGAUUGUUCCGUGGAUGGCAGAACAAUUGAAAUGAGUCUGUAAGACAAUUUUUCGUCGUUCGAUGAAAACA